Molecule: long non-coding RNA, 2397 nt
Filed under: Daphnia magna
Lineage: Eukaryota; Metazoa; Arthropoda; Branchiopoda; Diplostraca; Daphniidae
Description: uncharacterized LOC123475550
Source: RNAcentral
GAUUGUAGUUGUCUUUGUAACGGUUGCGCCUAUUGCACCGUGGAGUCCACGGCCCUCUAGUGUCAUAUAGUGCUAUUGCACCGUGGAUCCACGGCGCUCUAAUGUCACUUGGUGCUAUUGCACCGUGGAUCCACGGCGCUCUUGGGGCAAAACAUGCUAUUACGCCGUGGAGUGUGAUCACAAUACUUGUUUGUAUUAACUAUGCCAUUUGAAGCUGUCAAUGUACGUUUAUAAUCUUCUAUGUCUGUAACGGGUACCUUUACCUAGCUUCUCUUGACAAUAAAUAUAUUUCCAACCUUUUCCAGUUACAAAAAAUAACAAAAAACGAGUAUUUAAAUGUCAAGAAAUUUUUAUUCAAAUAAAAAUGUACAGAAAAAAAAAACACUUUAAAGCUCGUGCUACUUAUGAAGUAAAAUUGCCGACACUCGCCCAUCAAAAAGAGAAAAGUCUUUGAUCACUUUGUACCCUAGUAGAAAGCUAAUCACAUGAACUUACUGAUUGGUUUAGGGAUAUUAAACUGUAUAACAUUAAAAAUUUAGAAUCCACUCUGAACCAUCUUCCAAGCUUAUCGUGCACUCACUGAUCUCUGAUUUUGUGAUAACUGUAAUAAAAAUAAAUCAUUAACCCAUCAUGUACCCAAGCAAAAACUCAUCGUGUUGUACUUACUUAUUGCUGUGGUGAUAAUUGUUAAACAUUAACAAUCCAGUAAUCCACUUGGUAUCAAGCUUGUCGUGCACUCAAUGAUUGGUGAUUUCCUAAACAUAAAUCAUCAAUCAUCAUGUAUCCAAGAAAAAAGCUCAAAAUGCACUUACUGAUUUGUUUAGUGAUUACUGUAAAAAAUGACAAAUUAAUUCUUAAAUCAACUCUGUUUGCAGAAAGCUCGUCAUGCACUGAUUGGUGUUGUGAUAGUGAUACUGUAAAAAAGGACAAAUUUAUUAAUCCAACAUGUAAGAAAUCUGAUCGUAAACGUAAACUAACUUAUUGGUUUUGUGAUAAAGUAUCGGUGUCCAAUUCCAUCUUUACAUAAAAUCAUGAUUGUCAGCAAUGACAGCAGGAAAAUUUCAACUCAUCAAAGAAACAAGGACGCCAUUAACACUCACGAAAUAUAUAAUCAGGCCAAUAACUAGGUAACGAAAGAAAACCAAGAAAGCUGAAGAAGGUAUAGCAGGGCAGACCGCGCUACCUGGUAUCCACGGCGCAAUAGCAUAUUUUGACAUGGAGUGCCGUGGAUCCACGGUGCAAUAGCACUAAGUGACACUAGAGCGCCGUGGACUCCACGGUGCAAUAGAUUUUUCCCUUUGUAACUUUUGUCAUUGUUCAUUCAAUUGAAGAGGCUGCAACAAUCAUGCAUCAGGCAUGGUAUAAUAGCAUCUAUUCUAGGCUAUACCUUGCCAGAGUCAUCUGACCUUGCAUCAGGAAUACAGAAGAAAUAAAAGUGCUUAAUAUUGAACGUUUUAGCAAGUUAAGGAUUUAACUGUACCUAUUUUUCCAUUCCGCUUAUUCGCUCUCUGCAAUGCCACAAAAUCUCUCUGCUUUUAGAUAAACAUAUUACCAUGAUACAUCACAGUCAAAGCUGUAAAUGUCAGGCGUCACGCGUCAGGGUCGACAGACAGGAUUCCUCACCAGAGGAUCGAUUCUCUUGAAAAAACUAAAAAAGACAUGGCCUUUAAAUUGUUCUUUUUUUUCAACGCGUUAAUUGUUAUGGGACAUCUAAAAUAGACUCUGAAUGAACCUGUGCCACCAUCUCCACAUGAAUGAGUUCAUUUGCUGCACAGCCAACCAACCAACCACACACAGCAAACACCACAAUAAUUUGCAACCUUUGGGACAAAAUAACCCAGAAGUUCUAAACCCUUAAUUGACCCGGCACUACCCCAUUUUUUAAAUAACUACAAUAUUUAGGAAAAUUGUUCAAAGACAUCAAUUCGUUGGCGAGCAAACCAUGAACCUUACUGAUACAUAUGCCCUAUUUAAUUUAGAAUUGCUCCCAAGUCUUCCGCCAUAGCGAUCCGAUGCUCUACCAUUGAGCUACGAAUGACACCUGUAACACUUCUACUUCUUCGACACAUUAACAUAACUGCACGAGUUAAAUAGUCCCUCAGACGACAAUGGAAGGGUAUAGGAAGGCAAUGCUAGAAUAUGGUAUGGCAACCGACGCCUAAUUCGGUGGUUAGAUUCACAGUUAUGUUCCCCAGGAUCUUCCAAACAUCCUAGGAAGUAUACCAUUCAAGUGCACCAACAAUGUUGAGAAACAUACCAACAAUGACAAUACCAACUUUUGCCAAGUGAGUAAGUUGUGGGAUGAACAUGUUUUAAGAAUGGGUAAUAUAAGAGACAAACAUUUCUUUAAACAAAUGGACUUUUUGUCGAUUACAUUGCGCACUGCAUUUUACUUUA